AUACGUAGGUGACAAGCGUUAUCCGGAUUUACUGGGCGUAAAGGGCGUGUAGGCGGUCUUGCAAGUCAGAAGUGAAAUUCCUGAGCUCAACUCGGGCGCUGCUUCUGAAACUGCAGGACUUGAGUGCUGGAGGGGAUAGCGGAAUUCCUAGUGGAGCGGUAAAAUGCGCAGAUAUUAGGAAGAACACCGGUGGCGAAGGCGGCUAUCUGGACAGUAACUGACACUGAGGUACGAAAGUGUGGGGAGCAAACAGGAUUAGAUACCCUGGUAGUCCACACCGUAAACGAUGAGAACUAGGUGUCGGGCUCGCAAGAGUUCGGUGCCGCAGUUAACGCAUUAAGUUCUCCGCCUGGGGAGUACGUACGCAAGUAUGAAACUCAAAGGAAUUGACGGGG
This 395-nucleotide ribosomal RNA is filed under the name uncultured bacterium. RNAcentral describes it as "partial 16S ribosomal RNA". It matches the Rfam family "Bacterial small subunit ribosomal RNA", at positions 523 to 918 of the family's 1533-position model. The record is from RNAcentral.